AAAGAACCAGUUAUUUUCUAGGUUUUUCAAGAUUUUGAAAAUCUCUACUAUAUCUCAGUAUUCAAAUUGGGGCAGCCAAGUGGCACAAUAGAUAGAAUGCUGGGCCUGGAGUCAAGAAGACUCCUCUUUAGAGCAGCUGGGUGGCACAAUGGAUUGAGAGCCAGGCCUAGAGACAGGAGGUCCUAGGUUCAAAUCUGGCCUCAGACACUUCCCAGCUAUGUGACCCUGGGCAAGUCACUUAACCCCCAUUGCCUAGCCCUUACCACUCUUCUGCCUUGGAGCCAAUACACAGUAUUGACUCCAAGACAGAAGAUAAGGGUUAAAAAAAAAAAGAAGACCCCUCUUCCUGAGUUCAAAUCUAGUCUCAGACAUUAAUUAGUUACCCUGGCCAAGUCACUUAACCCUGUUGGCCUCAGUUUCAUCAUCUGUAAAAUGAGCUUGAGAAGAAAAUGGCAAGCUACUACUCCUUCAUCUUUACCAAAAAAAAACAAAAACAGUCGGUCAUAACUGAAAAUAACUGAACAAAAAUGUUAAAAUUAAACAUUGAUCUUGGUCUUACAUAUACACAAUUUUCUAUAAAAUAAGUCUAUCACUGCUGAGGUACAGUACAUAUUGCAAAUUUAACUGUAAAUUUUCUAAGUUCCCUUUCAUGCAAAGAGGAUUAAGAGUCAGUGCUUUUCACUUAAAUAAUUUCUAAUGAUAUGGGUAAAUGACAUUCUGAAAGGAUUUACCAACUGUCACUUUUAUUCACCUUUUCUUUAUGUCAAAGGCAUUACUUUUUAAGUGACUUUUUAUAGAAAGACACAAGAUUGUUUGGAAAAACUCUGAACAAAUAAAAUCUACAUGGCUCAAAAAUGGUUUUAUCCCAACAAAGGAAAAUGUAUAAAUAAUUAGUUUUUUUUGCUUAUUUGUCUAUUUACUUUAAUUCCAUUAAUAAUAAAUGUUUCUUAGGAAAUAAAGUGAUGAUGCUGGUGGAGUUGUGAAUUAAUCCAACCAUUCUGGAGGACAAUUUGGAACUACACCCAAAAGGCUUUAAAAGACUGUCUGCCCUUUGAUCCAGCCAUAGCACUGCUGGGUUUGUACCUCAAAGAGAUCAUAAGGAAAAAGACAUGUACAAGAAUAUUCAUAGCUGCGCUCUUUGUGGUGGCAAAAAACUGGAAAACGAGGGGAUGCCCAUCAAUUGGGGAAUGGCUGAGCAAAUUGUGGUAUAUGUUGGUGAUGGAGUACUAUUGUGCUCAAAGGAAUAACAAAGUGGAGGAAUUCCAUGGAGACUGGAACAACCUCCAGGAAGUGAUGCAGAGCGAGAGGAGCAGAUCCAGGAAAAUAUUGUACACAGAGACUGAUACACUGUGGUACAAUCGAACGUAAUGGAUUUCUCCAUUAGUGGCAAUGCAGUGAUCCUGAACAACUUGGAGGGAUCUACGAGAAAGAACACUAUCCACAUUCAGAAGAAACACUGCAGGGGUAGAAACACAGAAGAAAAAUAACUGCUUGAUCACAUGGGCCAAGAGGAUAUGGCUGGGGAUGUAGACUCUAAAUGAACAUCCUAAUGCAAACAUCAACAACAUGGCAAUAGGUUCUGAUCAAGGACACAUGUAAUACCCAGUGGAAUUGCAUGUCGGUUACAGGAAGGGGUGGAGGGAGGGAAGGAAGGGAAGGAAUAUGAUUCUUGUAACCAAGGAAUAAUGUUCUAAAUUGACUAAAUAAAUUUUUCAAAAAAAAAAAGAAGAAAAAGAAGUGAUGAUCACAAAGAGACAGCAUGCCUUUAUCCCUGAUAAGCCAUGUCAAACUGAUCUUAUUUCUUUUUUGGACAAAUGAAACUGAUAGAUUAGAGGAAUAUUAUAGACUUGGUUUAUCUAGAUUUAAAGCAUGUAAUAAAAUAUCUUAUACAAUUCUUGUGGAAAAGGUAGAAAGAGGUGGGCUCAAUGAUAGUACAAUUAAAUACUUUAUUAACUGGUAGAAUUCUAGAAUCCAAAAACAGUAAUUAAUUCAAGUUGGUUUGAUACCACCUUGAAAGGGAGUCUCUAAGAUAAAACUACAGAAAUCCCUACUUGGCCCUGGAGGGUUAAUAUUUUUAUCAUUGUUUUGUAGAAAAGUAUAAGACAACAUCUUUAUCAAAUUUGCAGGUGACACAAAGCUGAAAGGAAGAAAAAGUAUGCUAAAUGACAAUCAAAAUACAAAAAGAUCUUUUACAAGCCAGUAUGUUGGGCUGAAUCUAAUAAGGCAAUUGGGAGUCAAUGGAAUUUACGGAACAAGAAAGUGACAUAGUCAGAGCUGAACUUCAGAAAAAUCACUUGAGCACCUAUGAUCUAGAGGAGUAAGGAGAGCCUGAAGGCAGAAAAGCCAUUUCCAAGGCACUGGGAAUCAGGAGGUGAUGAGGACAUGAAUCAGAAAAGCUGGGGACGAUGUGAAUAAAAAAAGGAAAGGAGAAGCUGAUUGCAAGAGAUGAACUGGAAGUACAAACAAGAUUUGUAAACUGUAUGUGGGGUGAAAGUGAAGAGGAAAGAAGAACACCUUGGGACUGUAUCUUUUUUCAAGAGGCAAAAGAAAGCAGAGGAUGGAGUGGAGAUAGAAAUUAAGGAAACCAAAAGAGAGACAUGCUAACAAGGUAAGGCACUAAAAAUUAUCAAUAGGGAGACAGGAUCUUAAAAACAUCAAAUGUACAAAAAAAUUAAAGGACCACUAUGACUAAGAAAAGGUAAUUAGGGGCCAAAAGUAACCUUCCAAGCCAGGAUUUUGUGGGAAGCAAAUAAAUAAUGAGGCUGUGGAGAAUUUAGGAGAAAGGAAAGAAAGGAAUUAAUAGUAACUCAAGUAGAAUAUUCAAGAGAGGGGUGUUGAAGGGAUAAAUUCCAUCAUGUUUCAAUCCCAAUUAAACAAUAUAUGUUACAUACAUACUCUAUGCCAGUCAUGGUUCUAAGGGUUAGAAAUACAAUGAAAAUUCAAUAAGUUUGUCUUCUGGGGUUAACCACACAUUUAAGUUUAUAUGUGUGUUUAUAUAUAUGUAUAUAUAUAUGCAUAUAUAUUAUAUAUAUAUG
Molecule: non-coding RNA, 3035 nt
Organism: Monodelphis domestica (gray short-tailed opossum)
Lineage: Eukaryota; Metazoa; Chordata; Mammalia; Didelphimorphia; Didelphidae
Source: RefSeq, a predicted model, not a curated record